AAACAUCGCCUCCUGCAACAUUAAAGUAUAGGAGGUCUUACCUGCCCAGUGAUAAAUUAAACGGCCGCGGUAUUUUGACCGUGCGAAGGUAGCGCAAUCACUUGUCUUUUAAAUAGAGACCUGUAUGAAUGGUAGAACGAAGGCUUAACUGUCUCCCCUUUCAAGUCAAUGAAAUUGAUCUGCCCGUGCAGAAGCGGGCAUUAUAAUACAAGACGAGAAGACCCUUUGGAGCUUAAGAUAUACAAUCACCUGCAUCAAUAACUAACUAAAAUUAAAUUAAACCAAGCAAUGUCUGAUUAACAUCUUUGGUUGGGGCGACCACGGGAAAAAAUAAAACUCCCGCGUGGAAUGGGGUUAAUCCCUAAAUCUUAGAAAAACAUUUCCAGGCAUCAAAACAUUUGACCAUCAAGAUCCAGCCACAAACUGAUCAACGAACCAAGUUACCCAAGGGAUAACAGCGCAAUCCCCUUCUAGAGCCCCUAUCGAAAAGGGGGUUUACGACCUCGAUGUUGGAUCAGGACAUCCUAAUGGUGCAGCCGCUAUUAAGGGUUCGUUUGUUCAACGAUUAAAGUCCUACGUGAU
This 582-nucleotide ribosomal RNA is filed under the name Platystacus cotylephorus. RNAcentral describes it as "partial 16S ribosomal RNA". It matches the Rfam family "Bacterial large subunit ribosomal RNA", at positions 1811 to 2604 of the family's 2925-position model. Lineage: Eukaryota; Metazoa; Chordata; Actinopteri; Siluriformes; Aspredinidae. The record is from RNAcentral.